GCUUAACACAUGCAAGUCGAACGCCCCUUUCGGGGGGAGUGGCAGACGGGUGAGUAACGCGUGGGAACGUGCCCUUCAGUUCGGAAUAACCCCAGGGGAAACUUGGGCUAAUACCGGAUACGUGCGAGAGCAGAAAGAUUUAUCGCUGAAGGAUCGGCCCGCGUCUGAUUAGCUAGUUGGUGGGGUAAUGGCCCACCAAGGCGACGAUCAGUAGCUGGUCUGAGAGGAUGAUCAGCCACAUUGGGACUGAGACACGGCCCAAACUCCUACGGGAGGCAGCGGUGGGGAAUAUUGGACAAUGGGCGCAAGCCUGAUCCAGCCAUGCCGCGUGAGUGAUGAAGGCCUUAGGGUUGUAAAGCUCUUUCAGUGGGGACGAUAAUGACGGUACCCGCAGAAGAAGCCCCGGCUAACUUCGUGCCAGCAGCCGCGGUAAUACGAAGGGGGCUAGCGUUGUUCGGAAUCACUGGGCGUAAAGGGCGCGUAGGCGGCUUUGUAAGUCGGGGGUGAAAGCCUGUGGCUCAACCACAGAAUUGCCUUCGAUACUGCAUGGCUUGAGACCGGAAGAGGUUAGUGGAACUGCGAGUGUAGAGGUGAAAUUCGUAGAUAUUCGCAAGACACCAGUGGCGAAGGCGGCUGACU
Molecule: ribosomal RNA, 639 nt
Filed under: uncultured Alphaproteobacteria bacterium
Lineage: Bacteria; Pseudomonadati; Pseudomonadota; Alphaproteobacteria
Description: bacterial SSU rRNA
Rfam family: Bacterial small subunit ribosomal RNA
Source: RNAcentral